GACGAACGCUGGCGGCGUGCUUAACACAUGCAAGUCGAGCGGUAAGGCCUUUCGGGGUACACGAGCGGCGAACGGGAGCGUAACACGUGGGUGAUCUGCCCUGCACUUCGGGAUAAGCCUGGGAAACUGGGUCUAAUACCGGAUAUGACCUCCUAUCGCAUGGUGGGUGGUGGGAAGAUUUAUCGGUGCAGGAUGGGCCCGCGGCCUAUCAGCUUGUUGGUGGGGUAAUGGCCUACCAAGGCGACGACGGGUAGCCGACCUGAGAGGGUGACCGGCCACACUGGGACUGAGACACGGCCCAGACUCCUACGGGAGGCAGCAGUGGGGAAUAUUGCACAAUGGGCGAAAGCCUGAUGCAGCGACGCCGCGUGAGGGAUGACGGCCUUCGGGUUGUAAACCGCUUUCAGCAGGGACGAAGCGCAAGUGACGGUACCUGCAGAAGAAGCACCGGCUAACUACGUG
RNAcentral lists this ribosomal RNA (462 nucleotides) under uncultured bacterium. Its description in RNAcentral is "partial 16S ribosomal RNA". It matches the Rfam family "Bacterial small subunit ribosomal RNA", at positions 28 to 507 of the family's 1533-position model. The record is from RNAcentral.